Small nuclear RNA from Tupaia belangeri (northern tree shrew), 107 nucleotides. The record is from Ensembl. NCBI's taxonomy places the organism in Eukaryota, Metazoa, Chordata, Mammalia, Scandentia, Tupaiidae.
GUGCCCGCCUCGGCAGCACAUAUACUAAAAUUGGAACGCUACAGAGAAGAUCAGCAUGGCCCCUGUGCAAGGGUGGCACACACACUCAUGAAGCGCUCCGUAUUUUU